GACAGAGGUGCCAAGCGUUAGGCGGAAUCACUGGGCUUAAAGCGUGUGUAGGCGGAUCGUUAAGUGCCUUGUGAAAUCCCACGGCUUAACUGUGGAACGGCUGGGCAUACUGGCGGUCUUGAGCCAUCUAGGGGCGACUGGAACAAACGGUGGAGCGGUGAAAUGCGUAGAUAUCGUUUGGAACGCCAAUGGUGAAAACAGGUCGCUGGGGAUGCGCUGACGCUGAGACACGAAAGCCAGGGGAGCAAACGGG
This 253-nucleotide ribosomal RNA is filed under the name uncultured bacterium. RNAcentral describes it as "partial 16S ribosomal RNA". It matches the Rfam family "Bacterial small subunit ribosomal RNA", at positions 524 to 776 of the family's 1533-position model. The record is from RNAcentral.